Molecule: ribosomal RNA, 492 nt
Filed under: uncultured bacterium
Lineage: Bacteria
Description: partial 16S ribosomal RNA
Rfam family: Bacterial small subunit ribosomal RNA
Source: RNAcentral
AGUGAACGCUGGCGGUAGGCCUAACACAUGCAAGUCGAACGGCAGCACAGUAAGAGCUUGCUCUUACGGGUGGCGAGUGGCGGACGGGUGAGGAAUACAUCGGAAUCUACUUUUUCGUGGGGGAUAACGUAGGGAAACUUACGCUAAUACCGCAUACGACCUACGGGUGAAAGCAGGGGAUCUUCGGACCUUGCGCGAUUGAAUGAGCCGAUGUCGGAUUAGCUAGUUGGCGGGGUAAAGGCCCACCAAGGCGACGAUCCGUAGCUGGUCUGAGAGGAUGAUCAGCCACACUGGAACUGAGACACGGGCCAGACUCCUACGGGAGGCAGCAGUGGGGAAUAUUGGGCAAUGGGGGCAAGCCUGGUCCAGCCAUACCGGGUGGGUGAAGAAGGGCUUCCGGUUGUAAAGCCCUUUUGUUGGGAAAGAAAAGCAGCAGGUUAAUACCCCGCUGUUCUGACGGUACCCAAAGAAUAAGCACCGGCUAACUUCGUG